CCUACGGGAUGCACCAGUGGGGAAUAUUGCACAAUGGGCGCAAGCCUGAUGCAGCCAUGCCGCGUGUAUGAAGAAGGCCUUCGGGUUGUAAAGUACUUUCAGCGAGGAGGAAGGCAUUAAGGUUAAUAACCACAGCAAUUGACGUUACCCGCAGAAGAAGCACCGGCUAACUCCGUGCCAGUAGCCGCGGUAAUACGGAGGGUGCAAGCGUUAAUCGGAAUUACUGGGCGUAAAGCGCACGCAGGCGGUCUGUCAAGUCGGAUGUGAAAUCCCCGGGCUCAACCUGGGAACUGCAUUCGAAACUGGCAGGCUAGAGUCUUGUAGAGGGGGGUAGAAUUCCAGGUGUAGCGGUGAAAUGCGUAGAGAUCUGGAGGAAUACCGGUGGCGAAGGCGGCCCCCUGGACAAAGACUGACGCUCAGGUGCGAAAGCGUGGGGAGCAAACAGGAUUAGAUACCCCGGUAGUC
RNAcentral lists this ribosomal RNA (465 nucleotides) under uncultured bacterium. RNAcentral describes it as "bacterial SSU rRNA". It matches the Rfam family "Bacterial small subunit ribosomal RNA", at positions 338 to 795 of the family's 1533-position model. The record is from RNAcentral.